Molecule: long non-coding RNA, 653 nt
Filed under: Homo sapiens (human)
Lineage: Eukaryota; Metazoa; Chordata; Mammalia; Primates; Hominidae
Description: non-protein coding lnc-CDC40-2:1
Source: RNAcentral
GGAAGUCCACGCUGCCACCACGGGGUCACCACAGGGAGCCUGGUGGGGACACAGAGUAAAAAGAAUAGAAAAUAACCAAAUGUCAAGACUGCAACUGGGGUGGAGCCAAGCUGCUGCGGAUGUUGCCAAGGGCCCUUCCCGGGAGAGCCAGGUGGGGUACCCACAUGCCACCUUCUCCUCAGGUGGAGCCACCGCCUGUGGCCUCCUGUGGGGCCAGCCUGGACUGCAGCUGCCAGGACCUAGUGAUGGCCCCAAACCUGAGAGUGGGCCCAGAGUCCCACCCCGCUAACCAUGCUGAAAAAGGCCACAGGGCACAUGAAGCCUUUGCUCCCUGGAUCAGGUCACGCUCUCCAGUUUUCCUUCCAGGAGGACAGGCCAUGCACUAAAAAACAGCUGCAGAGGAAAGGCUGGACCAGGUGUGCUGGGAGUCACCAGGAGCAAGGUGGUGAAGAUGGAGUUUCCCUCUUGUUGCCCAGGCUGGACAGCGAUGCGCGAUCUCCAUUCACUGCAACCUCUGCCUCCUAGGUUCAAGCGAUUCUCCUGCCGCAGCCUCGCGAGUAGCUGGGAUUACUGGCCUGUGCCACCACGCCCGACUAAUUUUGUGUUUUUAGUAGAGACAGGGUUUCUCCAUGUUGGUCAGGCUUGUCUCAAAC